RNAcentral lists this ribosomal RNA (253 nucleotides) under uncultured bacterium. Its description in RNAcentral is "partial 16S ribosomal RNA". It matches the Rfam family "Bacterial small subunit ribosomal RNA", at positions 524 to 776 of the family's 1533-position model. The record is from RNAcentral.
UACGAGGGGUGCAAGCGUUGUUCGGAAUUAUUGGGCGUAAAGGGCAGGUAGGUUGUCUUGUAAGUCUACUGUGAAAUCCCCGGGCUUAACCCGGGACGUGCGGUGGAUACUGCAAGACUAGAGUGCUGGAGGGGUUCGUGGAAUACCCGGUGUAGCGGUGAAAUGCGUAGAUAUCGGGUGGAACACCAGAGGCGAAGGCGGCGAACUGGACAAUUGCUGACGCUCAGGCACGAAAGCGUGGGGAGCAAAAGGG